UCUCUUAUGGAAUUUAAGUCAAUAUUCCCAACAGAAAACACUUCCCUGCUACUAGGCUAGCUGAUUAUCUAGUCUGGAUCUUUAUAAGGUAUAUUAGAUCGGCUGGACCGCCAUCGAAAGCAGAAGGAUUCCAAUUUGAUGACGGGAAACUUUCCUAAGCGUAAUAACUUACUUGCUAGAUCCUAAUCCUAUCCCUUCCCUAUUGGUCGAGUAAGAAAAUCUCUCCACUUGAGAGACACUCGUCUGGAGACUCCAACUCUCUCUCUCUGCAAGAGAACUAUCACUUUCCUUUCCCAAGGGAUUACCUUAAGACUCGAACUGCAAUCGAUGCUUUUUUUAUUAAAGAAACACGUUAUUUCUUUCUUCGUUUGCUUGCACACUGGUUUUCCUAAGGGGCAGUUCACAUAUUAAUUAGUCUGGGGUGUACACUGAAAUGCCUUAGCCAAAGUAAACCACUUCUUAUAUGUAGACUCAAAUUGGCUUGCAACUGCCAUUCUUGCUCGAUCGAAGGCAGAAGCAACUGAUGAACUUGGAGCGAGAAGAAAAGCUCGAAAGUCGAUUAUUAAGCUUUUUCAAUUAAUUACUCAUCGAAACGACUGAAAGGCUUUCAAAAAAGGAGACUGGUCGGGUGUAAGAUAACUCCUAGCGACAUCAAAAGAAACUCCAACUUCCAAUAUUCAUCACAAUGGGCUCAAAAAAACCUCUUCCAAUCGAUGGUUUUUAAUACUUUGAGUUCUUUACCUGCUUUCAAUCCUCUGCCUUGCUCUAGCCCAUAUCUUUUUUGCUAACUGCUAACUAGGCUUUUGCCCGAGGACAAAAACUUAUUGCCCGAGAAGAGAACCAAGCCUUUAUACCCUCACCUGGCUUUCGCUACACCACGUGUGAAGCAUACGGCGACUGCGAUAAUCGAAAGGGAAUUUCCACUGGCACUCCCGCUGUAAUUUACUGGCCAGGAAAGUUCACUCGCUUCUUUACUUACUUAUUUUAUUGAAGAUAGGGAAUGAAAAAGGAGCUACUAUUGAGACUGAAAACGAAACUAAGAUACCUAUUAAUAUUAAGAGGUGGAACUGCUAGGCCUAGUACUUCCUAUUCCUGGUGAACUUAUUCAAUACGAAAUGGUAGAAAUAGGAGUAAGAAUUAGCUAUGAACUCAUCUACUACACUGGGUAUAUGGGAACUAGGACUGAAAUGAUAUAUGAUAUGGAUGGCUUUCGAGCCUGGAAAAGACCUGUCUUUUUCACAAGAUUGGUGAAACUGCUUUUCUCACUUCCUCUUCUACUUCUUUCCUCCCGAUUUCUUCUUUUGCGGAUCUUACCCUUAGCUUUUUACCUAACCUAAUUCAUUUCUUAUUAGCUUAGAAAGAAGGGCUUUUAGGCCCGCUAGCUAGGUUGAUUAUAUUAAAAGGUGGUUUACAGCUAGGGGGUUCGCACGAGGGAUCUUGCUAAAGGAAACGGGACAGAUAAUAGAUCUUUGGCCAUCUCAUCUCCUCAUCGGAGGCUGCUGCUUAUGAGAUAUCCCAUCGAGCAAGAGGAAUGACCUUUACAUGCGAGGUGAGGUUCGUGACCCAUGGCUCACUUCACUCUUUCCUUGCUCCCAAACACGAUGAAAGCUCCAACUAUGCGAUGAAACUCAGUACGGUAUCGGGCGGAUCGAUUACCAACUCCAUGCCGGAAAGAGCGUAGAAGGAAGACAUGGGCUAUUACUACUAUCUAUUACUACUAUGGUGACACCUAUGGUACCUAAUGAACCGUACUCCCAGCACAGGCUGGUGAGAGCAGGAUGGAAUGCACCCGUCUCUAUACCCACCGCCCUUACUUAGCUUUAGCUCUGCUCUCUGUGCUUAGCUUCCUUCCCUUUUUUUUUAAGGUAAGCAUCAAAGCCCAACCAACCUAUACAAAGAGCUCUUUUCAGCCCCUACUCCUAACAAGUGAAAGUUGCUGGCACCCACCAUACCUUGCUUUGGGGCCAAUCUCUUUCUUGUAUCGAAGCAAAUAAAAAAUGAUAUAGAAUUCUUCUUUUGUUCCACCACCUCCGUCCCUGAGUUUCAGUUCAACUAAGCCACUUCGUCCCUGAGCUCUGCUCGAGCGUAGUCAGCCAGCUUCGUGACUUUGCUUAGCUUUCUUACUAAAAUUCUUAUAUCCUUUGGCUUUCCAGCAGAUUGGCAUAUUAAGACGGAUUGGACUUUAACUGACCCAGAGUCCGCUAC
RNAcentral lists this long non-coding RNA (2205 nucleotides) under Durio zibethinus. RNAcentral's name for it is "long non-coding RNA (DZIB_LNC002243)". The record is from RNAcentral. Lineage: Eukaryota; Viridiplantae; Streptophyta; Magnoliopsida; Malvales; Malvaceae.